AACCAACAGGGAUUACCUCAGUAACGGCGAGUGAAGCGGUAACAGCUCAAAUUUGAAAUCUGGCGCAAGCCCGAAUUGUAAUUUGUAGAAGAUGCUUCGGGUGCGGUCCCGGUCUAAGUUCCUUGGAACAGGACGUCAUAGAGGGUGAGAAUCCCGUAUGUGACUGGUGACCUAACCUAUGUGAAGCUCUUUCGACGAGUCGAGUUGUUUGGGAAUGCAGCUCAAAAUGGGUGGUAUAUUUCAUCUAAAGCUAAAUAUUGGCCAGAGACCGAUAGCGCACAAGUAGAGUGAUCGAAAGAUGAAAAGCACUUUGGAAAGAGAGUUAAACAGUACGUGAAAUUGUUGAAAGGGAAGCGCUUGCAACCAGACUUGCGCGUAGUCGAUCAUCCGGCGUUUUCACCGGUGCACUCGACUGCGCUCAGGCCAGCAUCGGUUUGGGUGGUUGGAUAAAGGCUGUGGGAAUGUGGCUCCCCCGGGAGUGUUAUAGCCCACGGUGCAAUGCAGCCUCCCUGGACCGAGGACCGCGCUUCGGCUAGGAUGCUGGCGUAAUGGUUGUAAGCGACCCGUCUUGAAACACGGACCAAGGAGUCUAACAUCUAUGCGAGUGUUUGGGUGUCAAACCCAUACGCGUAAUUAACGUGAACGGAGGUGAGAACCCUUAAGGGUGCAUCAUCGACCGAUCCUGAUGUCUUCGGAUGGAUUUGAGUAAGAGCAUAGCUGUUGGGACCCGAAAGAUGGUGAACUAUGCCUGAAUAGGGUGAAGCCAGAGGAAACUCUGGUGGAGGCUCGCAGCGGUUCUGACGUGCAAAUCGAUCGUCAAAUUUGGGCAUAGGGGCGAAAGACUAAUCGA
This 850-nucleotide ribosomal RNA is filed under the name Chalara sp. OC0007. Its description in RNAcentral is "eukaryotic LSU rRNA". It matches the Rfam family "Eukaryotic large subunit ribosomal RNA", at positions 63 to 938 of the family's 3401-position model. Lineage: Eukaryota; Fungi; Ascomycota; Leotiomycetes; Helotiales. The record is from RNAcentral.